UCGUAGAAGUUCGGACGGAGUCUGGUUCUUAUAGAAGCGUGGAUGGAGACUGGUUGCCGUAGAAGCUCGGAUAGAGAUCGCUUACUGUAGAAGCUCGAACGAAGUCCACUUACCGUAGAAGCUCAGAUGAAGUCCACUUACCGUAGCAGCUCGGAUGAAGUCCGCUUGUAAUAGAAGUUUGGAGUAGAAAUUCGAAAGGCGGUCAACCAUUGUAGGAACUAGGAUGGAGUCUGGUUACUGUAGAAGUCCUGCUGCUGAAGAAGCCCAAGCAUUGACGAAGUUCGGAAG
This 288-nucleotide long non-coding RNA is filed under the name Elaeis guineensis (African oil palm). RNAcentral describes it as "long non-coding RNA (EGUI_LNC069069)". The record is from RNAcentral. Lineage: Eukaryota; Viridiplantae; Streptophyta; Magnoliopsida; Arecales; Arecaceae.